This 253-nucleotide ribosomal RNA is filed under the name uncultured bacterium. RNAcentral describes it as "partial 16S ribosomal RNA". It matches the Rfam family "Bacterial small subunit ribosomal RNA", at positions 524 to 776 of the family's 1533-position model. The record is from RNAcentral.
AACGUAGGAGGCGAGCGUUAUCCGGAUUUACUGGGUGUAAAGCGCGUGCAGGCGGUCGGUUAAGUUGGAUGUGAAAGCUCCCGGCUCAACUGGGAGAGGUCGUUCAAAACUGGCGGACUGGAGAAUGGUAGGGGAAGGUGGAAUUCCGGGUGUAGUGGUGAAAUGCGUAGAUAUCCGGAGGAACACCAGUGGCGAAGGCGGCCUUCUGGACCAUUUCUGACGCUCAGACGCGAAAGCGUGGGGAGCAAACAGG